This 112-nucleotide ribosomal RNA is filed under the name Mola mola (ocean sunfish). The record is from RNAcentral. Lineage: Eukaryota; Metazoa; Chordata; Actinopteri; Tetraodontiformes; Molidae.
CAUUACGGCCAUACCGCCCUGAACAUCUUGUCCGAUCUUGGAAGCUAAGCAGGGUCCGGCCUGGUUAGUACUUGGAUGGGAGACCACCUGGGAAUACAAGGUGCUGUAAGCU